This 227-nucleotide non-coding RNA is filed under the name Metabacillus indicus. RNAcentral's name for it is "Bacillus cibi T-box sequence". It matches the Rfam family "T-box leader". From Rfam's summary of the family: Uncharged tRNA acts as the effector for transcription antitermination of genes in the T-box leader family. The record is from RNAcentral. Lineage: Bacteria; Bacillati; Bacillota; Bacilli; Caryophanales; Bacillaceae.
UUUUGAACGGUGAUAAGGAUUAGUAACAGACUGCGGAUGCUCAGAGAAUUGACGGACGGUGAGAGUCAAUCAUCCAAUGCCUGCGAACUCGCCUUUGAGUUACGGAUGCGAACUGCAGGGCAGCCUGCACGGUAAUGUCUGUCGUGAUCCACGUUACGGAUAUCAAGUGAGUGCCGUAUGGCGCUAAAUUGGGUGGUACCGCGGGAAAUAAACCUCUCGUCCCUUUC